Molecule: ribosomal RNA, 253 nt
Filed under: uncultured prokaryote
Description: partial 16S ribosomal RNA
Rfam family: Bacterial small subunit ribosomal RNA
Source: RNAcentral
UACGUAGGGUGCGAGCGUUAAUCGGAAUUACUGGGCGUAAAGCGUGCGCAGGCGGUUUUGUAAGACAGGUGUGAAAUCCCCGGGCUUAACCUGGGAACUGCAUUUGUGACUGCAAGGCUGGAGUGCGGCAGAGGGGGAUGGAAUUCCGCGUGUAGCAGUGAAAUGCGUAGAUAUCUGGAGGAACACCGAUGGCGAAGGCAGCCUCCUGGGCUAGUACUGACGCUCAUGCACGAAAGCGUGGGGAGCAAACAGG